GGAUUGGGUGUGCAGGGAAGCGGUUCCAGGAAAUAGCUCCACCGUAUAGACCGUACCCGAAACCGACACAGGUGGUCAGGUAGAGAAUACCAAGGCGCUUGAGAGAACUCUGCUGAAGGAACUCGGCAAAUUGCACGCGUAACUUCGGAAGAAGCGUGACCCCAUGGCACGCAAGUGUUGUGGGGUGGCACAGACCAGGGGGUAGCGACUGUUUAUCAAAAACACAGGGCUCUGCGAAGUCGCAAGACGACGUAUAGGG
Molecule: ribosomal RNA, 259 nt
Filed under: Mycobacterium tuberculosis
Lineage: Bacteria; Bacillati; Actinomycetota; Actinomycetes; Mycobacteriales; Mycobacteriaceae
Description: partial 23S ribosomal RNA
Rfam family: Bacterial large subunit ribosomal RNA
Source: RNAcentral